RNAcentral lists this ribosomal RNA (275 nucleotides) under uncultured bacterium. RNAcentral's name for it is "partial 16S ribosomal RNA". It matches the Rfam family "Bacterial small subunit ribosomal RNA", at positions 524 to 796 of the family's 1533-position model. The record is from RNAcentral.
UACGGAGGGGGCUAGCGUUGUUCGGAAUUACUGGGCGUAAAGCGCUCGUAGGCGGAUUGGUCAGUCAGAGGUGAAAGCCCAGGGCUCAACCCUGGAACUGCCUUUGAUACUGCCAGUCUAGAGUUCGGGAGAGGUGAGCGGAAUUCCGAGUGUAGAGGUGAAAUUCGAUAGAUAUUGGAGGAACACCAGAGGCGAAGGCGGCUCACUGGACCGAUACUGACGCUGAGGAGCGAAAAGCGUGGGGAGCAAACAGGAUUAGAUACCCCCUGUAGUCC